GGGGCCGAUCCGGAUUCGACGUGGGUCGCGAAACAACUCAGGGCAUGCCGAGCACCAGUUCGCUCGUUAAUCCACUGGAACACUACAAACGCCAACGACGAGCGUUUCGCUCUCGCCGCUUAAGCGGUGAGCCGCUGCACUGAUCUGUCCUUGGGUCAGGCGGAGGAAGGCAACUUCCUAGGGGGGCAACCCUCGAACCGCAGCAGCGACAUUCACAAGGAAUCGGUUUGAACUGGGGUCACACGGUUCAAAUUUAAAUUACGUGAAUCGCUCUGGUCCGGCCUGUCGGUUGGCUAAGUCCAGGGUUAAAACUAAAUAGAUCGACUACGCAUGUAGAACUGGUUGCGGAGGGCUUGCGGACGGGGGUUCAAUUCCCCCCGGCUCCACCA
RNAcentral lists this transfer-messenger RNA (389 nucleotides) under Burkholderiales. Its description in RNAcentral is "Achromobacter pulmonis_A Standard tmRNA". It matches the Rfam family "transfer-messenger RNA". From Rfam's summary of the family: Bacterial tmRNA, also known as 10Sa RNA or SsrA, is named for its dual tRNA and mRNA-like properties. Its role is to liberate the mRNA from a stalled ribosome. The record is from RNAcentral. RNAcentral also lists the same sequence under 2 other names. Lineage: Bacteria; Pseudomonadati; Pseudomonadota; Betaproteobacteria.